This 298-nucleotide long non-coding RNA is filed under the name Phoenix dactylifera (date palm). RNAcentral describes it as "long non-coding RNA (PDAC_LNC010339)". The record is from RNAcentral. Lineage: Eukaryota; Viridiplantae; Streptophyta; Magnoliopsida; Arecales; Arecaceae.
AACAUCAGAAAGAUCUUAGCAGCUCUACUACAGUGGAAGACCUAUGGACUUAAUAUCGGUUAAUCAGGUCUUAGUGUUUGCAACUUGAGCUCUUCAUAAGAGGUAAUCGAACAAUUGGCCAGGUAAACAGGUGGGAGGCUCCCCUUACUCAGAGAGUAAGGUCCUAAUUAAGUAACCACCUUUCAUGCUUUUCUAGACACCAAUUAGAUCAAUUAAUCUAAUAUGACUCACUCAUGUUGGUUCACUCUCGACUUGAUUGAGGAGAUUUUAGUUUAGGUCUCAUUUGGAUUGGUCUAUU